GACGAACGCUGGCGGCGUGCUUAACACAUGCAAGUCGAACGAAGAGCGAUGGAAGCUUGCUUCUAUCAAUCUUAGUGGCGAACGGGUGAGUAACGCGUAAUCAACCUGCCCUUCAGAGGGGGACAACAGUUGGAAACGACUCCUAAUACCGCAUACGAUCUAAUCUCGGCAUCGAGGAUAGAUGAAAGGUGGCCUCUACAUGUAAGCUAUCACUGAAGGAGGGGAUUGCGUCUGAUUAGCUAGUUGGAGGGGUAACGGCCCACCAAGGCGAUGAUCAGUAGCCGGUCUGAGAGGAUGAACGGCCACAUUGGGACUGAGACACGGCCCAGACUCCUACGGGAGGCAGCAGUGGGGAAUCUUCCGCAAUGGACGAAAGUCUGACGGAGCAACGCCGCGUGAGUGAUGACGGCCUUCGGGUUGUAAAGCUCUGUUAAUCGGGACGAAAGGCCUUCUUGCGAAUAGUGAGAAGGAUUGACGGUACCGGAAUAGAAAGCCACGGCUAACUACGUG
Molecule: ribosomal RNA, 510 nt
Filed under: uncultured bacterium
Lineage: Bacteria
Description: partial 16S ribosomal RNA
Rfam family: Bacterial small subunit ribosomal RNA
Source: RNAcentral